UGAGGAAUAUUGGUCAAUGGGCGAGAGCCUGAACCAGCCAAGUAGCGUGCAGGAUGACGGCCCUAUGGGUUGUAAACUGCUUUUAUGUGGGGAUAAAGUGCGUGACGUGUCAUGCAUUGCAGGUACCACAUGAAUAAGGACCGGCUAAUUCCGUGCCAGCAGCCGCGGUAAUACGGAAGGUCCGGGCGUUAUCCGGAUUUAUUGGGUUUAAAUGGAGCGUAGGCUGUCUAUUAAGCGUGUUGUGAAAUAUACCGGCUCAACCGGUGGCUUGCAGCGCGAACUGGUCGACUUGAGUAUGCAGGAAGUAGGCGGAAUUCAUGGUGUAGCGGUGAAAUGCUUAGAUAUCAUGACGAACUCCGAUUGCGCAGGCAGCUUACUGUAGCAUAACUGACGCUGAUGCUCGAAAGUGCGGGUAUCAAACAGG
Molecule: ribosomal RNA, 424 nt
Filed under: Fusobacteriota bacterium
Lineage: Bacteria; Fusobacteriati; Fusobacteriota
Description: Fusobacteria bacterium partial 16S ribosomal RNA
Rfam family: Bacterial small subunit ribosomal RNA
Source: RNAcentral